GUACACUCCUACGGGAGGCAGCAGUGGGGAAUAUUGAACAAUGGGCGCAAGCCUGAUCCAGCCAUGCCGCGUGAGUGAUGAAGGCCCUAGGGUUGUAAAGCUCUUUCACCGGUGAAGAUAAUGACGGUAACCGGAGAAGAAGCCCCGGCUAACUUCGUGCCAGCAGCCGCGGUAAUACGAAGGGGGCUAGCGUUGUUCGGAUUUACUGGGCGUAAAGCGCACGUAGGCGGACUAUUAAGUCAGGGGUGAAAUCCCGGGGCUCAACCCCGGAACUGCCUUUGAUACUGGUAGUCUUGAGUUCGAGAGAGGUGAGUGGAAUUCCGAGUGUAGAGGUGAAAUUCGUAGAUAUUCGGAGGAACACCAGUGGCGAAGGCGGCUCACUGGCUCGAUACUGACGCUGAGGUGCGAAAGCGUGGGGAGCAAACAGGAUUAGAAACCCGGGUAGUCCCAUGA
Molecule: ribosomal RNA, 453 nt
Filed under: uncultured organism
Description: partial 16S ribosomal RNA
Rfam family: Bacterial small subunit ribosomal RNA
Source: RNAcentral